Molecule: long non-coding RNA, 227 nt
Filed under: Setaria italica (foxtail millet)
Lineage: Eukaryota; Viridiplantae; Streptophyta; Magnoliopsida; Poales; Poaceae
Description: long non-coding RNA (SITA_LNC005015)
Source: RNAcentral
GGUGAAUCAGCUGUAACUUUUCGGUACGAUCUCGGAUCGGGGCGAAUUUUAUAUGAAAAUUGAUCUACAGAAAAAGUUACACAUGAAAUUCAACGGCAUUGCCGUUUUCGGUGAAAAAGUACUAAUGGGCCUCGGAUCCAGAGGCCCGUCAGGAACCUCUAUAAAUAGAGGGGUGGGGGCGCCCUAGGGUUUACACCUUUUGGCGAAACACACCUGCCACGCCUCCC